Molecule: ribosomal RNA, 655 nt
Filed under: uncultured bacterium
Lineage: Bacteria
Description: bacterial SSU rRNA
Rfam family: Bacterial small subunit ribosomal RNA (bases 1-502)
Source: RNAcentral
GCUCACAUGCAUUAGAACGGUAACAGGAAGCACCUGCUGCUUCGCUGACGAGUGGCGGACGGGUGAGUAAUGUCUGGGAAACUGCCUGAUGGAGGGGGAUAACUACUGGAAACGGUAGCUAAUACCGCAUAACGUCGCAAGACCAAAGAGGGGGACCUUCGGGCCUCUUGCCAUCGGAUGUGCCCAGAUGGGAUUAGCUAGUAGGUGGGGUAACGGCUCACCUAGGCGACGAUCCCUAGCUGGUCUGAGAGGAUGACCAGCCACACUGGAACUGAGACACGGUCCAGACUCCUACGGGAGGCAGCAGUGGGGAAUAUUGCACAAUGGGCGCAAGCCUGAUGCAGCCAUGCCGCGUGUAUGAAGAAGGCCUUCGGGUUGUAAAGUACUUUCAGCGGGGAGGAAGGUGUCGAGGUUAAUAACCUCAGCAAUUGACGUUACCCGCCAGAAGAAGCACCGUGAUAACUCCGUUGCCAGCGAGCCAGCGGGUAAUAACGGAGGUGUGCCAAGCCGUUCAAUCGGGAAUUCACUAGGGGCGUUAAAAACGGCACAGCAAGGACUGAUCUUGUCAAGGUCCGGACUGGUGAAGAUCCCACGUGGCUCCAACCUAGGAACCUGCAUACGAAAAUGGCAUGGUAGAGUCUGGAGAGGGGGGAGA